Molecule: non-coding RNA, 11769 nt
Organism: Monodelphis domestica (gray short-tailed opossum)
Lineage: Eukaryota; Metazoa; Chordata; Mammalia; Didelphimorphia; Didelphidae
Source: RefSeq, a predicted model, not a curated record
UAUGCAGGAUAAGAGACCCCUGUGGGUAAUCGGCUACCUCAGUCUUUCCAUAGGUUCAUCAUCCUCUUUGAGUCAGUAAGACUAAAUACAGUCUUCAAGACUGGACUCUGAUAAAAGGUUUCUCAUACAGAUUUUUUUUUUUUUUGUGAAUAAAAAUCAGUGGCUUUCUCUCUCCUGCUUUUUUCACCUGACAUUGAAAAAGAAAGAUAACGCGAUUACAUGGAACUGAAAAGCUUGGAUUAAAACAAAAUUAAUGUGUUUAGGAUUAGAAGGGAAAUGGCCAUCAUUUUCCCAGUCACUUAGGCUCCCAAUCUUGGUAUCACCCUUGAUUCCCCACUAUCCUUCACCCUACAUAGCCAAGCCAUUCUCAGUCUUGCCAUUUCUAUAUUUAUAACAUCUCCAGUAUAGGUCACUUUCUCUCCACUCAUACAGCCACAACCAUAGUUCAGACCCUGGACAUCUCUUUCCUGUAUUACCACAAUUGAUUUUUAAUUGCCUCAAGUAUCUCCCCAUUCCAUCCAUCCUUUACUCAGUGACUAAAAUGAUUUUCCUCAAAUGUAGAUCUGACCAUGUCACUCUCCCUGCUCAGUGACCUGGUGUGGAAGCCUGUUACCUAGAGGAUCAAAUGUCAAUUGCUCUAAUUGGCAUUUAAAGCCUUUCAUUAUUUGGCUCCUUCCUACCUUUUUAGCCUUCUUAUAGCUCACUCUCCUCCACACACUCUUCUUUCCAGAAACAUUGUUACAGUCCCACAGUACUCCCUUUUGCUUCCCCCCAUGCUUGGGAUCCUCAUCACCUCUGGUUGUCUCCUAGAAAUUCCAGUUUCCUUUAAAAUUCAGCCCAAGCACCAACUUCUGUUGUUCCCUAGUUAUUUUUAGACCUUCUAGUUUCCUUUAAAACUCAAUCCAAACACCAAUUUAUUUAUAUAUUGGCUCUCCCAGGAGAAUGUCAAUGACUUUGACCCUGGGCAAGUCGCUUAGCCUCCAUUGCCUAUCCUUUACUGCUCUUCUGCCUUGGAAGCAAUACCCAGUAUGGAUUCUAAGACAGAAGGUAAAGCUUUAAAAGAAGAAGGAGAAGAAGGAGGAGGGGAAGAAGGAGGAAAAGGAGGAGGAGGAGGAGUGGAAUGAAGAGGAGGAGGAGGAGAAGGAGGAGAAGCAGAAGGAGAAGCAGAAGAAGGAGAAGCAGAAGAAGAAGAAGAAGAAGAAGAAAUAGAAGAAGAAAUAGAAGGAGAAAUAGAAGGAGAAGGAGGAGAAGGAGAAGUAGAAGGAGAAGGAGAAGGAGAAGAAGACAACGACGACGACAAUAACUUGAGGUUGAGGAAUGAGGCAGGGUUUGGGUUUUUUGGUUUGUUUUGCUUUUCUUUGAAUCCCUUGUACUCAUCAAUGUGGCUGGCACAAAGUAGGUUGUUAAUACAUGUUAAUGUAAUUAGAAUUAUAAUUAAUGUUCAUUAAUAUAUUAAUGUUAAUUUAUAUAAAUGUUAAUAAAUAAAGUCAUAGCCUUAGUUGGAUUAACACCUUAAGCAGCAUUUUGAAGACUUUCUAUUUAGAAGCGUCAUGUUCUAUAAUGUCCUUUCUCUGGAAGGAUGGCAAUAUUGUUCUUCUCUAUUGCAAAAAAAAAUCAAUAUAUAGAUAUAGUCAUUAUGUGAGCCUAUAUUUUCUGUUCAUUGAGUCCCAAGUGAGGCUUUCCUGCUUUUUCCUCAAGAUGCCUUUUUGGGUGGCAGCACAGCAUCCCUUGGUUGGACUGGUUGCAAAAAAUAGUUUCUGCCCAUCAUUGUGGUGGCCAUCCUGAGUAGCCAGAUGUCAGGCAGUUUCUGCCAGGAAGGGAAGACAGCUGUUUGGAACAGGAAAUAAGAAGAGGAUGCUGGGGAAGGCGUCAAGAGUUUUAUCUGGGGAGACAGGACGACAGUUGGCAACGAGGAGGGAGCAGUGCGGAGCAGGGACUGGAACAUGUCUAGAAAAAUCAAUUUUCUUUGUGACUUAGGUGAUAGCCCAAGAUAUACAAAAAUGGCACUGGGUUAUGAAUUCUUGCAUUUGUUUAUAUUCUCUGCACAGCCAGUUUUAUUUAAAUGGCAUCUAUAGACUAAUAGAUUUUUUUAAAGUUCCAAUCACAAAAGCAGUUUCCUCUGUCAAUGUAAUUUAUGAGUAUAGAAAAAAAAGCUUUAGGGAAAGCAUUUCAUACACACACACAUACACACACACACAUAUGUGUGUGUGUAUGUGUGUGUGUGUGUGUGCCUGUCUGUCUCCUAUCAUGCCCAUUAGGUGAUAGAGGGGAUAAAGGACAGCAUUUGGAUUAAAAAAGACCUGAAUUUGAAUCCUGCCCGAGACCCUUACUAGCUGUGAGACCCUGGGCAAGUUGUCAAUCUCUGCCUGCCUCAGUUUCCUCUUCUGCUAAGGGAGGAUCAUAAGACCAUCUAUGUCAUCGAGUUAUUGUGAGGAUAAGAUGAUCUUCAUGCAGUGCCCAUCACAUAGUUAGUAGGUGCUUAAUAAAUGUUUAUUGGCCAACUGACAGAUAAGACUUUGUAAACUUUAAACUACUAUAUAAAUUAUUAGCUACGUUGUUGUUAUUUUUCCUGGCUCAAUCCAUAUUUCCCAUUUUUUUUAGAAUUCUCGUGUUUCACAUGUUCCACAAAAGCUGUCCCUCACCAUCAUUGAAGCCCUCUGGUGCUUUGACCCAACCAUAUUCUCAAAGUCCAUUUCCCCAACCCAGACUUGACUUGAUGAUCCGCCAUAUUCAUGAUUCCCCUUUGGGCAGGGUUCCCCAAUGCUUAUCUUUAGCACUGGCCUCACAGAUGACCUCUGGACCUUCCCCUCUAACUGGAAGAAGCAUUUCCCCAUCCUCCUUCAUUUUAGUGUCUCCCUUCCAAGAGUCUCUCUAAUUUAGCCUCUCUAUGACUUGUUCAUACAGAGGUGUUUCCAUGUUGUCUCUCCACGUUAGACUGGGAGUUCUCUGAGAACAAGGACUGCUUUUCUGAAUUCUUAGACUCUCUCACACUUCCUUCUUUGCCUGGUACCUAAUAGGUGCUAAUAUUUACUGACUGGCUGACAUUAGCUUCCUACCUUUGUUCAGUCAUUUCAGUACGCUUUGUGACCCUUCUUUAGGGUUUUAUUGGCAACUGGAGGAUACCUUCAACUGCAUCUAUCAUUUGUACCCCAAAUUCAAGGCGCCCCCAAAGCAAAUCUAAAGUUUUUCUUAUUAAACCUUGCCUUUCCUUCCAUCAUUCACAACAUCAUUUAUCUUCUCUUUCUUAUUUGAAACCUUAGACAUGCCUGGGACUCUUCCAUCUCCCUUGCCCUUCCAGAACCAUUCAAUGACCAAGUCCUCUUAAUUCUACUCCCAUAAUAUCUCUUGCAUCUUAAAGGGUUUGGGGCUGAAGGUCAUACAUUAUCUGGGUGACUCUGGACAAGCCAUUGAACCAAUCAUAGUCUCUGUCUUCCCACCUGAAAAUUAAGUGGAUUAGAUGAUUUUGAGUAAAAUAGACAGGUAGAAGGUGAACAAUUUCAUUUUUGUCUUAGUAUCCCUCUCUUUACGAGUAUCUAGAAUACAACAGAUACUUAAAGAUCAAAAGUUUCCUUCAAUUCUUGAUCCUAUAAUCUUCCUUAUAUAUACAAGUCUCCUUUGUGCCUCUUUCUUACCAAAUGAAUAAACUCUUCCAUUUGUCAUUCAAGGUCCCUCAGAAUCUUGCCCUUGUCAAACUUUCCAUCCUUUCUUCUAUACUGUAAGUACUCUGAAAAAAAAAAAAGACUGGCCUUUUGUCUUCGAAUAAAUACUGAGUUUUAGUUCCAAGACAGAUGAGCAAUAAGGACUAGGCUAAGGUCACAUAGCUAAGAAGUGUCCAUGGCCAGAUUUGAACCCAGAACCUCCUAUCUACAGACUUGGCUCUCUAUUCCCAAAACCAACUAGCUGCCCCAUUGUAAAUAGUCUUUAGGCAAAAUAAUCUGCUAACUAUUCUCUAAUCUGCCCCCUACGUGACUCUUUUCACUCAUACCUCUCUAAUACUGGGUCCACUUUCUGUUCUCUCUCCCAGUCUACAGAUUUUCUUAUCAUCUUUUUUUAGAACCCAACACAAAUACCAAGCUUCCUUGAUUUUCAUUACCGAUCUCCCCCACCUCUCAAUCCCCUGUCACUCGGCUAACAUUGUAUUUGCUCCUCUCUUCUGCAGUCACCAUGUUAUUUUGAAUCUUUGUGCCUGAGUCACUUUCUUUAUUGACCUAUAAGCUUCAUAAAGUCAGGGAUCCUAGGAGCUUGUCUAACAUGAACUUCAUAUUUCUCCUAGCUACUCUGAGAAAUGUUCAGUACACAAUUGCUCCUUAAAGGAAGGCUGAGUUGAUUUUAAUUAAAUAUGAAAAUUGGUGAAAUAUCUGCAUCUUCUUUUUUUAGAGACUAAGAACACAUCUAACCAUAAUUAUUAAAGGAAAAAGCUUUUGACACAUAAUAAAAUGAAAUAUGUCUUAAGUAAGAUAGAGACCAAGAGUAAUUUAUCAUUUCAAUGAAAAACUAGUAUCAUCUUAUUUCAAUAAUUCAAAAGAUCUGUGAUUUCAUCAGCCAAGCUAUUCUUUUUGCCAACAUAGAUCAGCACCCCUUUGUCUGGCUCUGAUGGAUGCUCUGUCAUUUUCCCCAUAAUGGCUGAUCCAAACUUUCUCUGCAUUCUUCUCUUCAAGGCACCAACUCAACUGUCUGCCAUGUUCUUCUCUGCAGAUGUCACCUUGCCUCAGACUUUUCUGUGAAGUCAGAGACCAUCUGAGGUUUACUAUAACCUGUUUCUUCCCCAUCUCCAUGCCUAAAUCCUGUAUUGCUCUGCCAUUUCCUUCUCAUUUUUUUAAUGGAUGAGGAAACUGAGGCAAACAGUUAACUGACUUGCCCAGGGACACACACAGAAAGUCAUCUCCAUGGAUCUUCAGGAAACAAGGUAUUUGCUCAGUUAUUCUAGUACAAGAGUUCUUAUUCUGAGGUCUUUAGGAAUGUAUGAACUGGAAUGGGAAGAAAUUGCAUCUUUAUUUCAAUGGGAUGGGUUUCCUGGGUCAUUUUAUGCAUUUUAUAUUAUACCUAGAAGUAAAAUUCUGAGAAGGGUUCAACUUCUGCCUGCCAAAGAGGUCCAUGAAAUAAGAAAAAAAGUGGUUCGGAGAUCCUGCUUUGGUCCUGUGCAUGGAAUCUUCAUGGAUCCCAAGAGUUAACAUUACACAACUAGAGGAUCAUAUCCGAGUCUCCUCACCUCCAGUUUCUCCCUGCGCAGAUGUCCGAUGGAGAGUCUUAAAGCUCAAAUUCCCCCGUGAUGUGCUUCUGCUCAAGAAUCUUCACCAUCUCCUUCUUCUCAGGGGAUAAAAUGCAAAUGGGUCUGCUUGGUGCUUUCAUCUCCAUACAGUCUGGCUCUAGUUUGUCUUCUCACAUUAAUUUCAUAUUUUUAUAUCCCAGCCAAACUGGUUGGAUGGAUAUUUCCAGUAUUUUAACCCAAUGUGUAGCAGAUAAUGAAUGAAUAAGUGGUUCUUGAGUGAUGCAUUGAGCUGUUCUCAUUCCCACCCCUGGAAUGCUUUCCUUCUCAUUGCUACCUUUUGGAUUCUUAGAGUUCCUUCAAGAUUCAGUCAAUCAAUCAACCAACAAAUUUUUAUCAUGUGUCUUCUAUGGGCUUGGUGCUAUGCGAGGGUCAGACUCAAUCCCAAUGCCCUCCCUCCAUAGAGCUUUUCUUUGGUACCCCAUUUUCCUGAAAUUGCUUUCAUGUCGAUAUCUUUUCUUCCCAAAAGACUAGAAGCUCUCUGAAGACAAGGACCGCUUCAUUUCUGUCUUUGUAACCCCAGAACCCAGCACAGUGCCUUGCAUGUAACAACUUGAUAACUACUUAAAAAAAUAUGAAUGUACUCCUAUGUACCACCAGGAAUCUGAAUAAUAUAAGGACGAUUAUCAGAAAGAGGCAGGCUUUGGGACAGGAAAUUUCUGAGUUCUAAUCUUAUCUUUGUUAGUUUGGGGACAAAUGGCAAGUCAUUUCUAUUCUCUGAACCUCAACUAUCUCAUCUGUAAAGUGAAAAAGUCAUAUUUGCUUUGUCCAAGGUUACAUAGGUCCUAUGUUGCAGACUAAGGACAUGAACUCCGAUCUUAAGACUCGAAAUCCAGAGACAUGGUUAAAUUUAAACACAUUGGAUUUCCAUAGAGUUUUGUAGUCUUGGAUAUCCUUGGCACAGAAGACAUAUUUGGAUUUUUAAGGCUCAUUCUCUUUCUAGUUAAAAAUCUCUUCCUAACAACAGAAAAUCAGUUGUUCAAUUCUGAGAAUGCCAGUGAUUACCUGGGUGGGGCCCUAAUUUAGUAAAAACAAUUUAAAAUUCAGAUUAUAGCAAAAAUUAAAAUGCCUUGCAUUGAGAUCCUUCCCUGUCAGGGGAUAUUUUACAAUAAAACAGUAAAAGAAAAAAAAGAGACUAGAAACUAGAUUAUCUAAGGACCUUGAUUAGGUCUUUAUUGGCUCCAUUUGUUUGCUUUUUAUAGAACUUUGUACCUUAUAGACACAGUACAAAAGCUCCCUUCAUUUUGUUCUUUUAAAUUUCCUAAGAUUCUCCAAGUACAAUUUUUUUAAAGGAGGUUUACUUUUUAAAGAAAAAGGUGUUUAUAUUUAGCCAUGAAAAUCACCUGUUGUUCCCUAAAGAGUCCUCAGUUUUAAAUUCAGUUUCCACCCCAUAUCUUGAAAUUUAAAUACCAGUUUCCCAUUUAGGGAAGAAGUAACAAAGGCCUGGGUAGUCUCCUAUAAUCCACUUGCUAUUGUUCUAACCGAGUUAAUUUUAUUCAUCCAUAGCUCUCCUGCCAGCUGAAGACAACAAAUAGUGACAUUAAUUUAGAAUAUAGCAGCACAUGUGUGUACAGGCCCCAGAGAAAUGGAACCACUAAAAACAAUGUUUUUCCUUCUGAAGGGUUUUAGGGUCUGGCCAAAGGGCUGUGGGUAGGAGGUGGUCUAGCUUUCUUUUGUAGCAGUCAAAAUUCCUUCUGCUUUUUUGUCCUUUUCUUGAGUCAAAAGGUAGGAGGGCAAGGCGUAUGGAAGGGGCAAGAAGGUAGACCAGGACACCAACUAGCCAAAAGCAUCAUCUACUUUUCUAAGGAUUCCAUUAUGGUAUGAAAAGUUCUUCUCUACUUCCAAUCCCCCUUUCCUAACAGAAUAUAUACUUUAGGAAAAGCAAUCCUAAGAUUCUCCUUCCUCCCCCCAUAUAAUGCAUUGUUGGCCCUUGAUGAAUCCACAUUCAUUCAUUCAUUCAUUCUCAUUUCCUCUUAAGUGAAAACACUCAAUUUGGAAUCAAAGGAUAUGACUUUGCAUCUUGCCUCUGCUAGUUAUGACCUGUAUCACCUUGGGCAAGUCCCUUGAUCUUUGGGCCUCAGUUUCCUUAUAUGUAAAAUGAGAGGAGUUGAACUAAAACUUUUUUUGCCAUAUUUAGAUCCUAUGUUGAUUAAUAUCAGUACAUAUCAAAGGACUGGAUUGAAAAGUACAGGGAAGCAGAUAUUCACUUUUAAAAAAUUAAAAUGAAUCUGUUAAAAAGCAAAUGAAAAGAAAAUAGCCACCAUUUACAUAGGGCUUUAAGUUUUGCAACCAUUGAAUUUUAUGCCAUCUUAUUGAUUAUGAGCUUGUUAGACAAUGCUAUUAUUAUCCCUAUUUUACAGGUGAAGAAACCAAGGCACAGAGAUAUCAAGGAGCUCACCUAAUGUCUCAAGUGUCAGAGGCAGAUUCUGAACUUGAGUUUUCCCUGAGUCCAAGUUUAAUACUCUCUAUACCACACAAAUUCUUUGAAAUACCCAUACUGAUUACUGCUCUACCCUGACACUAAUAUUUGUACCCAUUUCAUUCAUGAGCAGUUUAAAAUGUUUUUAAAUAUUCUAAUGACUUUUAAAAAAAUAAACAACCAAAUGAAUGAAUGAAUGAAUGAACACAAAUAAAUGAAUAAAUGAACAAAUAAAUAAAUGAAUGAAUGAAUAAUUAAACAGAUAAAUGAAUGGAUAGCUAAAUAAAUAAAUGAAUGAAUGAAUGAAUAAAUAAAUGAAUGAAUGAAUAAAUACAUGAGAACCUUGGCCCAGGAUGAAGCCAAAAGAGAGCUAGACAGAUUUGUUUUGUGUGCUGGCUCAGCUUCUUUCUAGCUAUGUCAUCUUGGACAACUCAUUUUAUUUCUCUGAGUCUCAUUCCCAUCUUGGAUAAUGUCAGGAUGGUAGGAGAUGUUGUCUCAAAACCUUGUGAUGUCAGCAUUCCUUGAUUUGAAUCUUUCAUUUGGAUAUUCCCCAAUCUGAGCACUUGUAGUCUAUAGUAGUAUAGAAGGGGUUCAAGGUGGAUGGCAUGUUAUUGUUCCUUUGCUGUGGCUGGUUAUUGGUCCACUUACUCAACUCUAUGAUAGAAGAAAAGAUCAGAAUUCCCUUCUAGACUCAGUCUGCUGUUACAAGGGAAUCACUUUAAAAGACUGAUAUAUAUCAAUUUAAGGUCGCCAAGGAAUUCAGCUAUGUAAUUCCUUAAUGAAAACUCAAGUCUGCAGUAAAUCUUUUAUGGAGUUUAAUUACAAUAGGAGGAAGAAAGGAAUUAGAGAUAGAGAGAGAAAAGGGAGAGAAGGGAAUAGGGCUUAAAUACCCCUUCUGUUUAGGCUGGGCCAAAAGGCCCAAGCCCUUAGAUAGCUGGGGCAAAGAAAAGAGAUCAGUCCCUAUUACUCACGUGACCAAAAUGGAGAAACAGUCUCCGGGGCCCCCACCUUCAGCUUCCUUCAGCGCAAGCUUCUCAGAGCACACCGCAACCACUCCGGCCAACUCCUCAACCACCCCCCAAGUCUUCAGACCCCCCUGAUCUUUAAGGAAACCAUCCAAGUUGCCUCCCCUCAGUUCUCACAUCUACCAAUCACUGUCCAUCAAUUUCCCUGUGCCAAUGGAGGCUCUAGCUUAACCCAGGACCGCCCAGAGGCUUUGCACAUGUCUGUUGAAGCUCAUAUUUUCAAAUAAUUAAAUCUUUGCUCCUUUGCUACAGCCCUUUCUAAAUCCUGUUAACCUGAGUAGGGUAGAGAUUGGAAUAAUUAAAUUUUGAUCUAGGCUGCAGCCCUUACUCAAUCCUGUUAGGACUGAGUAGGGUGGAGAUUGAUUCCAAGUAUCUCCAUUGUAUCAAUUCUAAAAUCAAUCAUGACUCAAAGAAAUUCCUGUUCUAUGCUUAAGCAUAGGUCAAAGUCCUUUCCAUUGUUCAGCAAAAGGUUUCUGUCCUAAAGUAAUCUUUAGAAGGGAAGGAGAAGGAACCUCCCAUGCCAAUGGGAUUCACAUUCCAAUAGUCAAGACCCACUAUCAAUAGGAAAUUUUUCAAGUAUGAAAUUUCCCAAUGGUGAAAUUUCCAACAUUUAUAAGUCUAAGAAAUUUUGAGGUUUACACUGCAUAAGUGUGAGUAUGUGUUUCCCCUCCCCAGGCAAAAUGGCAUCGAAAAAUGCCAUUCUACACAUGCAAGAGAUGGUAGACCAUACAAAUUCUCUGAAGUAGACCAGAAAACAUUAUGAGAUCCAGUAGAAGAAAAAACCAAACAGACCAGAAAGAAGCAUCCCCGGUAGAUGGCUGAUGCUCAGUUUUUUGGAAAUCUUGAAAAUACAGAAUCUCUUCCCUGCCACCAUAAUGCAUAUAGAUAGCUCCACUUUCCUCUCCAUCCCCAUCUGCUUGUCUGGCCAGCCAGUGAGUAAGCCAGGGCAUCUCGCCAUCUACGUGUCACUGCCCAUAUCUCUCUUACCUGCAGACACACAAACAUGCCAUGGCACACAGGCACAUGCACUCAUACACACAUACUUUACCUCUUGCUUUUGGCCAUCAUUCAAAUCAAUGAUAUCAUUACUUCUGGAGAGAGUGUGUUCUGGACAUCCACUCACCAUUUCUGUGGCUCCUCAGGCUAAAAUGCCUUCCUGGCUGGCCCUUCUCUCUGUGCCAUCUUCCCCAUUAAAAUUUCAAGUUUCUUUAAGAUCAAAGAUUUUCUUUUUUUUAACACAUUCGUGGCACAAAUAAAUGCUUUUUCAUUCAUCAUUCAAUCAUCCAUUCACUCAUUGAAGAAUCUUUCCUCUUUAUCCCUAACUUUGAAGAUCACAGGCAUGGGAUGUUGUUUCCUCUGCAGAAUUUCCUAUUUCCCACAGGGCCAAAGCAUUUCUAACUUUAUGUAAAUGGUAGCUUAGCAUUCAAGUUUGCCAAAAUAUCUGUCUUUCUCUUGUUUUUCCAUUAGUUUCCUCCUUGGAGCUUCUCAUCCUUUUAGGUAUCUAGAACAUUCCUUCCUGACUUUUUUCUCUUCUUUCCCUCUACCUUCUGAGUGCAUUUCCCCUCACUAUCCAGGUUCACACCACCACCACCCCUCGCUGCAUUUUUCUUCUCUCUUGUAACCUGGGAGGCCACCAAGGCAGAGAAGUUCAGCUUGGAGGGGAGAAUGAGGGAGGGAGAAUGGCUCAGUGACAGAUCCUCUGGGGGAAACAUCUGUGGGCUGCUGUAGCAGCUGCAAUGAGUCACACUUCUGCCUUUUCUAGAAUCAGAGAGUUUCCUGCUUUCCAUAAGCCCCUUUGUCUUUGGUGCUUGAGUCUACAGGGGCUCAUCUUUGCAAGCUGGCCACCCACCUGGCAGACCUCAUCCUCUUAGACCCAGGAAACGUUGGAGCUACAUCUCACUGUCAUCAUAUAGUUUAUUUUCUUCCUUGCUCAGUUAUUUAAAGCAAUGCUCUAGGUCCUGAAGAAGUCAGCCUUCACUGCCCAGGUUUUUCUGAAUUUUAGACAUAGAACUGGAAGUGUAACCUUAAAAGGGGGUUGUCACAUUUUUGUCUGGUCCCUCCAACUUCCUAGGUCUAGGAUCAAUCACGAUGGGAAAUGAGUAUCCUUUGGGACCUUUGGAGGCUUUCCAGGAGAAUUAAGUUAUUACUUUUAAAGGAAGCCCAAAUAAACAUGGUAGCAUAUAAUUAAAAUAUAAAUAUAUAUACCAUGUAUUUGUAUUUAUGUAUUUUAUUUAGAUCUGUUUCUCUUCUCCCAUAGAAUAUAAGUUUUUUGAGGCCAAGAGACUUUUUCCUAAUUCUAUCUUGAUUUUACACAGCUUCUAACAGUGUCUCAUGUGUAGUGGGUACCUAGUAAACCUUGUGGAUCGAUUGAAGGAUUCCAAGUUUCAUGGUUCUAGACUCACUUUUCACUAUGGAAAGCUAGAAGCAAAAAGGAUUAAUGCCAAUGGGAAGGGGGCUAUAGAUUCCAUUAGGUUCUCUUGAAGUUAAUUUGGAGGAUAAAACAUCCUAUAUUUGGACCAAUCUGGCAUACUACAUAGAAUCAAGGAGAAGGUGUAGCAGUCCACCCCUAGCUAUGGGCAAGGGAAACAGUUGGUAUGUACAGAUUGCCUUAGAAGAGAGCAUGCUCAGUCUUGAGCAUGCUCAGUAUUGCACAUGGCUGGGAAAGCCUCUGACCCUUGACCCCAGCUUCCCCCAGGUUAGGUGGGAACACAGGUUUCUUUGUGCUCACCUGGUUAAGAGAAACCACACCUAUACCUUGUCAUUAACCAAUGAGAAUCAUCCCUAUGUACUGUGUAUAUUUGCAUAUCAAAGACUAUAUUUAGCCCAGCAAGCUCUGCCUCUCUCUCUCUCUCUCUUUCAGGCUAGCUGAUGGCUGUCCUGGCAGGAGCUUGGCCUCUGGCCAAGCUCCAUCUUUAAACCUUCUCUAUCUCUCUCUUUCAUCUCUCCGACCUGUGUGGUAUUAAAUGUGGAUCUCUGGACUGGUAAAAGCCUUUGGAGUGGUCCUUUGAUCAAAGCUUGGCUGUGGCUUAUGGAAAAUUAAUAAAGACUCAUUCCUGCCA